This 443-nucleotide ribosomal RNA is filed under the name uncultured bacterium. Its description in RNAcentral is "partial 16S ribosomal RNA". It matches the Rfam family "Bacterial small subunit ribosomal RNA", at positions 338 to 795 of the family's 1533-position model. The record is from RNAcentral.
CCUACGGGAGGCAGCAGUGGGGAAUAUUGGGCAAUGGGCGCAAGCCUGACCCAGCAACGCCGCGUGAAGGAAGAAGGCUUUCGGGUUGUAAACUUCUUUUAUCAGGGACGAAGCAAGUGACGGUACCUGAUGAAUAAGCCACGGCUAACUACGUGCCAGCAGCCGCGGUAAUACGUAGGUGGCAAGCGUUAUCCGGAUUUACUGGGUGUAAAGGGCGUGUAGGCGGGAGUGCAAGUCAGAUGUGAAAACUAUGGGCUCAACCCAUAGCCUGCAUUUGAAACUGUACUUCUUGAGUGCUGGAGAGGCAAUCGGAAUUCCGGGUGUAGCGGUGAAAUGCGUAGAUAUACGGAGGAACACCAGUGGCGAAGGCAGCUCACUGGACUGCAACUGACACUGAGGCUCGAAAGUGUGGGUAUCAAACAGGAUUAGAUACCCUGGUAGUC